GUAGUGUUGGAACAAAAUGGCUUUUUCAGCAAGAACCUGCAACUCCCUAAGGACUGUUAUUUGUCCAAAACAAAGUGGGUCAAGUCCUUUGCUGGUAUUAGGUAAGGUUACUUGCUCCCAUGUGUUGAUUAACCCUCUGUAACUAAUGAUGAUUAUCUUUUGGAAUCUCGUUCGUCUGAAAUCCUGUUGAUAAAUCUUUAUUACUGAAGUUACAGUACAUGAUUCACUUUUUUUUUUUUUUUUAAAUGCUAUUUGUAUCUGAAAUGACACUCUGAUUGGUUUUCUCUCCAAAAGGUUGCGUACCUGAAGUACUCUCAGCAGGUAGGAAUAUGCAUCUCUCAUGACCCAUUCCAUUGAAAUGGUCCCUUUUGUAGUUAAUUUGCAUCUCUGUGCUCUUCCAUCUGUAAUACACUCAAUCCCUCUGUAACUGAUGAUGAUUACCUUUUUGGAAUCUCGUUCGUCUGAAAUCCUGUUGAUAAAUCUUAUUACUGAAGUUACAGUACAUGAUUCAUCUAGAUUUUUGAAUGCUUUUUGUAUCUGAAGUGACACUCCGAUUGGUUUUCUCUCCUAAAAGGUUGCAUACCUGAAAUACUCCGCAGGUAAGAAUAUGCAUUUCUCAUGACAAAUUUCAUUGAAAUGGUCCCUUUGUAGUUAACUUGCACUACUUGCUACUCUAUUCCAUCUGUAACCUAUGAUGAUUUUUGCAGUCUCGUUCGUCUGAAGUCCUGCUGAUUAAUUAAUAUUACUGAUGUUACAGAUUUGGCAUCUGUAUGUGUGUUAUCUCUGCAUUUGUGUAGGUCUCCCAUCCUAUUUUUUUUUUUUUUUUAACCUAUAGGUGGCACAUCUGAGAUGAGACAUUCACAGGACUACAGUGGAUUCUUGAAGUCCUUCCCCCUUGAGCAUACUAUAACAGACUGCAGUGAAUUUUCCCUCAGAGUUCUUUACCCCUUGAGCGUACUGAAGCUGGUGUUGCUACUGUCCAUCCAGGUUGUCCCAGUGUCACUUGAUUGCUGGUGUUCUGUUGACUUUUAAAGGUCACGUAAACUGCAUCAGAAGUUGAACUGGCUGACACACUGAUCUGUGUCCUUGUACAUCUGCUUAACUGGAGUGUUGGCUGAAUGGUGUUAUUGACUGACGAUAUAAAUGGAAUGUGUUUCCUUUGUAUUCUUUAUUCAAAAGCUGCUUGCAAAAUAAAUGGCUUUACUGAAUUUGCGGUUUCAAUUCCUGUUUUGUGUCCCUGAGUCUUCAACCUUUUGCAUUCGUUUGUAUCAGAACUUAAUUUCUCUAAAUGGAAAAGUGACACUUUGCAGUAAACUUUAGCUUGUAAUGCUUGAGACAUCAUGAACCAACAAAUAGCAUUUAAUUGUAGAAUGUUUGCUCAAACUUAUACAACUUGACUAUUCACAGCACUUAAUAUAAAAGUAGUGUUCAAUGUUAGGUUAAUGUGUUAAGGUAAGAUUUGAACUAAAGCAAAAAGUACUUAACAAAACGAGCUGAGGUCCAAAAAAUACCCCUUAACCCCUUAACUGUCACCUAUUCCCACCUGUGGGUACGCUUGGCACUUUUUUUUGUUCUUUUUCUCUAUAAAAUCUUUUAGUAAUCAUCAUAAAUUAUAUAUCAUUUGAAAGCUUAGAAGCCCAAGAUUCAUCCUGUGAAAACCAUUUUGAAAUCGGACAUUGCGUUACCAUGGAAAUGGUACUUUAAAGUCUUAUGGCGGUCUCCUCCCCCUUAGUGGGCAGUGUCUAGUGUCAUAUUACAAAAUGCAUUACGGUCUUUAGAAUCAAAACUUUAUAUAAUCUUGGCCAACAAACAUAUCAUUGGAAAGGUCUGAGUCUCAGGAUUCCAUAUUUGGUGGUUAUUUUAGUGUUGACUAAAAUUGACAGAGAAAUCUAGGAAAAAUUCAUUAAUACAAAAUUCAAAGGAGUUUUGAUGGCUCCCAGUGGCU
Cyprinus carpio carpio is the source of this 1945-nucleotide long non-coding RNA. Lineage: Eukaryota; Metazoa; Chordata; Actinopteri; Cypriniformes; Cyprinidae. The record is from Ensembl.